Molecule: ribosomal RNA, 253 nt
Filed under: uncultured bacterium
Lineage: Bacteria
Description: partial 16S ribosomal RNA
Rfam family: Bacterial small subunit ribosomal RNA
Source: RNAcentral
UACGAAGGGGGCUAGCGUUGUUCGGAAUCACUGGGCGUAAAGCGCACGUAGGCGGAUUUGUAAGUCAGGGGUGAAAUCCCGGGGCUCAACCUCGGAACUGCCUUUGAUACUGCAAGUCUCGAGUUCGGGAGAGGUGAGUGGAAUUCCCGGUGUAGAGGUGAAAUUCGUAGAUAUUAGGAAGAACACCAGUGGCGAAGGCGGCUCACCGGCCCGAUACUGACGCUGAGGUGAGAAAGCGUGGGGAGCAAACAGG